GUAAUGCGCACCGUCCACUUGAUGCAUUCGAGGCAUCUCUCUUGAGAAAUCAGCCCAUUUGCUCAAUUUAUUCUCUAUCCAAUCGGUUGGGUUCGCUGCUACCAGCUUCAGGGGUAUAGCGUGGAAUACAUCAAUGCUUGCCACGGAGCCAGAAGGUUCGUACUCUAAUGCAGCUUCCUGCAUCUUGUGGGCAAGUGUUAUCCAGGUCCUCAGCUUGUUCCUGGUUAGAGAUAGCUCCACCAAACGACUCUGUGCAGCACAAGACAUGAUGUGGUCGAGGGCGUCAUCGUUAGAGAGUUCAUGUAAUUUAGGCGACAAUUCGAGGGCGUGUUCCUCUGAUAUCAGGUCCAAGAAAUAAGAGAGAUUGAUACCAGCUUCUACCCAAUCGAGCUGGCGCAUACGAUCUUUGAUAUGUGGCGGUAGGUUGAAAGAACCUAGGAACCUAAUUUCGUCCCCAUUAGCUUCGAGGAGUUUAGCGAUUUCAAAAGCAAUCAUGGCGCCAAAUGAAUAUCCUGCGAUUGCAUAUGGGCCCCAGGUCUGGGUCUCUUUGAUGUGUCAAAAAUAUGUUGUACAUAUUUCAGGGAGGUCAGUAAAAAACUCCUCCCAUGCUUCAAACCCUCGAGCUCGGAGUGCAUAUAGCGGGCGGUCAUUGAUGUACUUCACGAGGUUUAAGAAAACCAAGACUUCGCCAACACCGGGAUGUACAAGCC
This 710-nucleotide small RNA is filed under the name Histoplasma capsulatum. RNAcentral's name for it is "hypothetical RNA". The record is from RNAcentral. RNAcentral also lists the same sequence under 1 other name. Lineage: Eukaryota; Fungi; Ascomycota; Eurotiomycetes; Onygenales; Ajellomycetaceae.